GGUCAGCGAUUGGGGUGAAGUCGUAACAAGGUAGCCGUAGGAGAACCUGCGGCUGGAUCACCUCCUUUCUAUGGAG
This 76-nucleotide ribosomal RNA is filed under the name Clostridium algidicarnis. Its description in RNAcentral is "partial 16S ribosomal RNA". The stretch from base 1 to 68 matches the Rfam family "Bacterial small subunit ribosomal RNA", at positions 1466 to 1533 of the family's 1533-position model. The record is from RNAcentral. Lineage: Bacteria; Bacillati; Bacillota; Clostridia; Eubacteriales; Clostridiaceae.